CGCAUCUGUGCAUGCAGCAUAUCAAUAAGCGGAGGAAAAGAAACUAACAAGGAUUCCCUUAGUAACGGCGAGUGAAGCGGGAAGAGCUCAAAUUUGAAAUCUUCGAGGUUUUACCCUGACGAAUUGUAGUUUAAAGAAGUGUUUUCUGUUGAAGUUUUGGUAAAAGCUCUUUGGAAUAGGACAUCAUAGAGGGUGAGAAUCCCGUAUUUGACCAUUAUUUUCAGCUGUGUGAUACACUUUCAAAGAGUCGGAUUGUUUGGGAAUGCAGUCCAAAAUGGGUGGUAAAUUUCAUCUAAAGCUAAAUAUUGGCGAGAGACCGAUAGCGAACAAGUACCGUGAGGGAAAGAUGAAAAGAACUUUGAAAAGAGAGUUAAACAGUACGUGAAAUUGUCAAAAGGGAAGCGUUUGACACCAGUGUUGUAUUCUCGAAAAUCAAUUAAAAAGAGUUUGAUUUUGUUGUGUAUUGACCUUAACAGCUUGCAUUUCAAUUUUCUUGCUUUUUUUAAUGCACUUUUCGUUUAACAAGUCAACAUCAGUUUCUUUUGUUGUAAAAAGGUCAUUGGAAGGUGGCUUUCCUUUCGGAGAAAGUGUUUAUAGCCUUUGACUCCUGCAAUCGGAGAGACUGAGGUCUGCAGCGUAGAUCCUUCGGGGUUAGAUACAUUUGUGCUAAGUUAUAGCUUUUUAUAGACAACUUGUUGACUAUGAUUAGUCUUGUAGCUUACUCGCUUAUGCUAUUUUACCUACGCUUAGGAUGUUGAUGUGAUACUGCGAGC
This 773-nucleotide ribosomal RNA is filed under the name uncultured Neocallimastigales. RNAcentral describes it as "partial large subunit ribosomal RNA". It matches the Rfam family "Eukaryotic large subunit ribosomal RNA", at positions 26 to 628 of the family's 3401-position model. The record is from RNAcentral. Lineage: Eukaryota; Fungi; Neocallimastigomycota; Neocallimastigomycetes; Neocallimastigales.